UAAAGUACUUCACAUUGCAAAUCAUGCUCGUUGACUUUGGUAACAAUAUUUCUCCGUACACCUCAUUCGAAAUACUAAAUGAAACCACAGAAUAAUAAUUUAGUGAUUGGCCAAGCCAAUGAAAUGCUCCAUGUGUAACAGCCAAAGAGUCCACACCAGAAAACACAGUACAAGACAACACAGGGUGGAUGUCAAUAGGGUGUCCAUCAAUUUUUCUCCCAGGAACCACUACGAUAUGAGCAGGCAGCGUAGGAGAAAAACACAUAGGUUGGAGAACACAAAAGUGGGAUUAAAGCUUCUCAAUUAUUAAGAUAUAGUUGCGGAGGGAGAGACUUGUGGCUGACGUAUUACAUGUGGAUUUUGUCACUGAGGUGAGGCUUCACAUUAUUCGUGGAGGUUGUCAUCCAGAUUUAGUUAUUUUUAGAUUAUAUUUCUUUUUGUUUGGUUUGCAUGCCUGAAAGCUGAAUUCAUGUAACUUUGUUUAGAUGCUCCAUGGUCUUAGCGUGAGAUUUGGGGCUUGAGAGUUAUUAUCUAAGUAUUGUUGUUUUCAUAAACCGUAUUACGAUAACUGGGUGGAUAAUUACUUUGCCUUUAAUAGUUAUUUUGUGCAUUUAAAGUUGCACGUAUUUUUA
Molecule: long non-coding RNA, 632 nt
Organism: Capsicum annuum
Lineage: Eukaryota; Viridiplantae; Streptophyta; Magnoliopsida; Solanales; Solanaceae
Exons: 3
Source: RefSeq, a predicted model, not a curated record